CCCAUCACUGUGUGCCCUGGGUCUAGAACUGUAUUCUUGACACAUCCUUGUAGGACUAAGUCCCUGCAUGUUGCUGGGACUCAACAAACUGACACCCAAUUGCUUUUCAACCACCAAGACUCUCUGAUAGCUGCAUCUCUUCAUUUCCUCAGUUGGGAGGAGGGUCCAGAGGCUGAGGAAUGCCUUGUCAUUGGAAUCUCUUUGUCCCUGAGUUUCAGAAGCAAAUAGUGAAGCUUUGGGCAGAAGAGGAUUCAUGGGAAAAUAUAUCCAAAUCACUUUGGUUCCUUCCUUUGGAUAGAAGGAAUUUGGAUCAUGAGGGCCCCUGGGUGUCCUCGAGUGGCCACUUUGGAAGGCUGGGUGGGUGGUGGCUGUGGCAUUGUGGAUGAUGGAUAAGCGUGUGGCCUUGGUGAGGAGUGAUGGGGCUCUCGGUGUUUGCAGAGGAAGCUGCCUGAACAGGACAUCGCACAAGGAUCCUACAUUGCCCUGCCAUUGACGCUGCUGGUUCUGCUGGCCGGUUACAACCAUGACAAGCUCAUUCCUUUGCUGCUGCAGUUGACAAGCCGGCUACAGGGAGUCCGCGCGCUCGGCCAGGCAGCCUCUGACAAUAGCGGCCCAGAAGAUGCAAAGAGACAAGCCAAGAA
RNAcentral lists this small RNA (641 nucleotides) under Pan troglodytes (chimpanzee). RNAcentral's name for it is "retained intron". The record is from RNAcentral. Lineage: Eukaryota; Metazoa; Chordata; Mammalia; Primates; Hominidae.